Molecule: long non-coding RNA, 1852 nt
Filed under: Marmota monax (woodchuck)
Lineage: Eukaryota; Metazoa; Chordata; Mammalia; Rodentia; Sciuridae
Rfam family: tRNA (bases 1706-1778)
Source: RNAcentral
CAUGACCAUGAGCCUUAACAUUGCUGCCGGAAGGAUGGGAGCAGGAGGGGAAGGUAGCAUGGUAGCAGACUGGAGAGAACCUACAAAAUAAGACACCACAACUCAUCUAAAAACUGUAGCGAAUGUAUGUUUCAGGGAGUGGAUGUAAAACCGGAGAUCAGAGAGAAAGGAGAAAAGAAAUAAUCUGUUUUUCAGUUGAUAACACAAGAACCAAAACAGAGAGGGGCACUAUGGCAAUAAAAUUCUAGUACUUUCCCAAUUGGAGAGAGAAUCUGGCCCUCUGUGGGUGUUUUCCACCCCUAAAUUCAGAAAUACAGACAAUCAAAACUUAAUUUGCCCCAGUGAAAACUGCUGGCAGGGUUGAAAUGUCAGGAUGAAGGACAAAAAAGAAAACCUUUGAUUGUCCUAAGCCUUUAAUUAUUGAAAUUCAUGAUUUUUACUGAAUGGAGAUAUUUGCAUAUGAAUAUUUUUUAUCAUUGCCCUGGGCACUUUGAAGACAUCAUAUCAUAACUUAAACACUGAAGUUCCACAUUUCCUUAGGCCUUAGAAUAUCUCUUUUCCUAGUUCCUUUUUCUUUCCUAAAGCUCAAUUAGAAUAGUAAAAUUCAGGCAGGGCUGGCGGGUGUAACUCAGUGGUGGAAUGCAUGCCUAGCUUGCACAAGGCCCUGGGUUCCAUCUCCAGAACCACAAAUAAAGAAGAAAAAUUCAUAGUCUAGCAAAUACUAUAGCAAGUGUUGCUGUCAAGUGUUUUUCUGAAUUUCAAGUGUGAGCUGUGUAUUGUCUAUUGUUGGUAAUUUUUAAAAUGCCUUUAUGUAUGUAAUCUCUAUGAAGCUAUUAGUCAAACUGUAAAAUUUGCUCUUGGUAAAAAUCACUCAUCUCAAAGAUCAGGGUAACCACUACAAAGCUGUGUCAUUUCUGCUUUUGAUGUAAUACUGUGUCCCUUGGGACAGACAGACAGGCUAAGAAAGGCACCAGUUGAUUGUGGAAGCAAUAUUGUUUGACUUUAUACUAUUAGUUUAAGAGAUGAGUGAACUCCCUGGCUGGUCACCUUACCUUCCAAGACACAGGGUCCACUAGAAUUGGUUACAAUACCCAUUGAACCAAGUUAUCAUAUUAAAUUAAACCCUGCUGUAAACACAUAGAAGUUGUGAAACUGCUUCAAGUAAAUAGUGGUUUACAGAACACUUUAGCAGCAUCUGUCACUUUAAUAUGCAAAACAUGCAUUUACCCCUAUCCUGAAGUUUGAUCCUGGACAUUUUCAUAUUUCACAGUAAGGAGGAAAUUGUACUGUAUAGGACUUAAUUAUUUAAAUAGUCAUUAGAUAUUUGGAUAUAUAUGUAUAUAUAUAUGUACGUGUGUGUAUAUAUGCUACAUCUAUCCUUAUGUAAACCUAAGCACUUAUCCUAUAGUUUGGUAGUUCCUAAUCUGAGUCAUUGGUAGAUUUUGAGAGGAGUUAGGGAAUACUCUGUUGCCUAAAACAUUUGUAUGUAUGUUGGUGUGCAUAGGUGCACACACCUAGGUGUGUUUAUGUGUGUGUUUGUGUGUGUAUGCGCGCACACAUUCAGCAUGUGCUCCUUUUUGGGGGAAAAAGACUUCUAGUAUUCAAGAGAUUCACAAAGAAUCUUACCAAAGAAAGGUAAGAAUUGAUGUUGUAUAUUUUGUGACUCUUUGUACUUUUGCACUAAUCAAAACAAACUAGAGGAACUGCAGAUAUAGCUCAGUUGGUAGGGUGCUUGCCUUGAAGGCACAAGGUUCUGGGUUCAAUCCCCAGUACCACCAAAAAAAAAAAAAAAAAACUAGAAUGGAGGCACACACCUGCAAUCUCAGCUACAUGGGAAGCCGAGGCAGGAAGA